RNAcentral lists this ribosomal RNA (488 nucleotides) under uncultured bacterium. RNAcentral's name for it is "bacterial SSU rRNA". It matches the Rfam family "Bacterial small subunit ribosomal RNA", at positions 501 to 989 of the family's 1533-position model. The record is from RNAcentral.
CUACGUGCCAGCAGCCGCGGUAAUACGUAGGUCCCGAGCGUUGUCCGGAUUUAUUGGGCGUAAAGCGAGCGCAGGCGGUUAGAUAAGUCUGAAGUUAAAGGCUGUGGCUUAACCAUAGUACGCUUUGGAAACUGUUUAACUUGAGUGCAAGAGGGGAGAGUGGAAUUCCAGGUGUAGCGGUGAAAUGCGUAGAGAUCUGGAGGAAUACCGGUGGCGAAGGCGGCCCCCUGGACAAAGACUGACGCUCAGGUGCGAAAGCGUGGGGAGCAAACAGGAUUAGAUACCCUGGUAGUCCACGCUGUAAACGAUGUCGAUUUGGAGGUUGUGCCCUUGAGGCGUGGCUUCCGGAGCUAACGCGUUAAAUCGACCGCCUGGGGAGUACGGCCGCAAGGUUAAAACUCAAAUGAAUUGACGGGGGCCCGCACAAGCGGUGGAGCAUGUGGUUUAAUUCGAUGCAACGCGAAGAACCUUACCUGGUCUUGACAUCC